RNAcentral lists this ribosomal RNA (253 nucleotides) under uncultured bacterium. RNAcentral describes it as "partial 16S ribosomal RNA". It matches the Rfam family "Bacterial small subunit ribosomal RNA", at positions 524 to 776 of the family's 1533-position model. The record is from RNAcentral.
CACGUAGGGGGCAAGCGUUGUCCGGAUUUACUGGGCGUAAAGAGCGUGUAGGCGGCCACGCAGGUCCGUUGUGAAAACUGGAGGCUCAACCUUCAGACGUCGACGGAAACCGUGUGGCUAGAGUCCGGAAGAGGAGAGUGGAAUUCCCGGUGUAGCGGUGAAAUGCGCAGAUAUCGGGAAGAACACCCGUGGCUAAGGCGGCUCUCUAGUACGGUACUGACGCUGAGACGCGAAAGCGUGGGGAGCGAACAGG